GGGAUCCUACGGGGGGCAGCAGUGGGGGAUAUUGCACAAUGGGGGAAACCCUGAUGCAGCGACGCCGCGUGAGCGAUGAAGUAUUUCGGUAUGUAAAGCUCUAUCAGCAGGGAAGAAAAUGACGGUACCUGACUAAGAAGCCCCGGCUAACUACGUGCCAACGGCCGCGGUAAUACGUAGGGGGCAAACGUUAUCCGGAUUUACUGGGUGUAAAGGGAGCGUAGACGGCAGUGCAAGUCUGAAGUGAAAGGCAAGGGCCCAACCCUUGGACUGCUUUGGAAACUGUGCUGCUCGAGUGUCGGAGG
RNAcentral lists this ribosomal RNA (305 nucleotides) under uncultured bacterium. RNAcentral describes it as "bacterial SSU rRNA". It matches the Rfam family "Bacterial small subunit ribosomal RNA", at positions 333 to 655 of the family's 1533-position model. The record is from RNAcentral.